This 440-nucleotide ribosomal RNA is filed under the name uncultured bacterium. Its description in RNAcentral is "partial 16S ribosomal RNA". It matches the Rfam family "Bacterial small subunit ribosomal RNA", at positions 338 to 795 of the family's 1533-position model. The record is from RNAcentral.
CCUACGGGAGGCAGCAGUGGGGAAUAUUGCACAAUGGGGGCAACCCUGAUGCAGCGAUGCCGCGUGAGUGAAGAAGUAAUUCGUUACGUAAAGCUCUAUCAGCAGGGAAGAAAACGUUGGUACCAGUGAACGAAGCCCCGGCUAACUACCUGACAGCAGCCGCGGUAAUACGUAGGGGGCAAGCGUUAUCCGGAAUUACUGGGUGUAAAGGGAGCGUAGACGGUGUGCCAAGUCUGGAGUGAAAUGCCUCGGCUGAACGGCGGAACUGCUUUGGAAACUGGCGGGCUAGAGUGCGGUAGAGGUGAGCAGAAUUCCUGGUGUAGCGGUGAAAUGCGUAGAGAUUUGGAGGAAUACCGGUGGCGAAGGCGGCUUACUGGACCAAGACUGACGUUGAGGUUCGAAAGCGUGGGGAGCAAACAGGAUUAGAUACCCGAGUAGUC